RNAcentral lists this ribosomal RNA (380 nucleotides) under uncultured eukaryote. RNAcentral describes it as "SSU rRNA". It matches the Rfam family "Eukaryotic small subunit ribosomal RNA", at positions 587 to 969 of the family's 1831-position model. The record is from RNAcentral.
AGCUCCAAUAGCAUAUAUUAAAGUUGUUGUGGUUAAAAAGCUCGUAGUUGGAUCUCGGCGGUCUGAGGGCGGUUCACUUGCUAGUGCUACUGCCCUAUAGACCGUAGUUUUGUCAGAGGUCUCGGGGUGCUCUUAAUCGAGUGUCUCGCGAUGCUGGCAGGUUUACUUUGAAAAAAUUAGAGUGCUCAAAGCAGGCUUUUACGCCUGAAUAUUCGUGCAUGGAAUAAUAGAAUAGGAAGUUGUUUCUAUUUUGUUGGUUUCCGGAAAUCGACUUAAUGAUUUAUAGGGACAGUCGGGGGCAUUUGUAUUCAAACGUCAGAUGUGAAAUUCUUGGACUGUUUGAAGACAAACUACUGUGAAAGCAUUUGCCAAGAAUGUUU